This 623-nucleotide long non-coding RNA is filed under the name Homo sapiens (human). RNAcentral describes it as "non-protein coding lnc-LIMD2-1:2". The record is from RNAcentral. Lineage: Eukaryota; Metazoa; Chordata; Mammalia; Primates; Hominidae.
CAGCGUUUGACCUUUUGGGAUCUUGUGGUGAGGACCUUAAAAAUAGGAUCCUAAUGCAUCAGGAAAUUCAUGAGAACCCCUACCUCUCCACCUGCUUCUCUUUUCCAAACAUGCUUUCAUUCUCUAGACAUCCCUUCUCCAAGUGAGAAUUUCAUAGCUUUUAGCAAAUGCAUUGAUUGUUGGAAAGGACAAGCAGAUUAACAUUUGAUGGGAACAGGUCCUUGUCUCCUCAUUUGUAGACAACCCUAACACUUGCUCUGAUAUUAGUGCUGAUUACUACCCUGAAUGUAGUGUUUUGUUUCUCUUCAAAUAGUGCUGGCACUGAGUCGGGAUUUGUGUGUGUGUUUAGAUGCCAGUCUCCUCGUGGGUCUGAAUUACCACCUUCACCCCACUCCCAUCCCACCCCCAGUUUUCUCUACUAACCUAUUUUUCUUUUUCUUUUUUAGACCAAUGAUGCGAGCUCAGAGUCAAUAGCAUCCUUCUCUAAACAGGAGGUCAUGAGUAGCUUUCUGCCAGAGGGAGGGUGUUACGAGCUGCUCACUGUGAUAGGCAAAGGAUUUGAGGACCUGAUGACUGUGAAUCUAGCAAGGUACAAACCAACAGGAGAGUACGUGACUGUACGG